RNAcentral lists this ribosomal RNA (405 nucleotides) under uncultured bacterium. Its description in RNAcentral is "partial 16S ribosomal RNA". It matches the Rfam family "Bacterial small subunit ribosomal RNA", at positions 28 to 526 of the family's 1533-position model. The record is from RNAcentral.
GACGAACGCUGGCGGCGUGCUUAACACAUGCAAGUCGAGCGGAGCGGCUAACGGGUGAGUAACGCGUGAGUAACUGCCCCCCUCUCUGGGAUAACAGUUGGAACCGGCUGCUAAUACCGGAUAGUGGGGGAUGAAUCGUGUCCUAUCAGCUUGUUGGUGGGGUAGUGGCCUACCAAGGCGACGACGGGUAGCCCGCCUGAUAGGGCGACCGGCCACAUUGGGCUGAGAGACGGCCCAAACUCCUACGGGAGGCAGCGGUGGGGAAUAUUGCACAAUGGGGGAAACCCUGAUGAAGGAACGCCGCGUUCGGGAUGACGGCCUUCGGGUUGUAAACCGCUUUCAGCCAUGACGCGGUAGUGGCAGAAGAAGCACCGGCUAACUACGGGCCAGCCGCCGCGGUAAGAC